Molecule: non-coding RNA, 325 nt
Organism: Plutella xylostella (diamondback moth)
Lineage: Eukaryota; Metazoa; Arthropoda; Insecta; Lepidoptera; Plutellidae
Source: RefSeq, a predicted model, not a curated record
AUCACCCCCAAUAGAUUCCGCCUACAAGGCAAGCGACGCGCACCACGCAUUAGCUCAAUAAGUAACAUACAAACAAAGCUUGACAGCGCUCCUUCAGUUCUGACCAAGAUUCAGACCCGCGCGUAGUGUGGAAUAAUAAACUGUUAAAAAUCUUUUCCAACGAAAACAUAUGACAUUUUAAUGCCGUUUUGUGGUGUAAAGUGGUGUGGGAAGUCUUCUAAGACUUCAAACUUCCAAAAAGAUGGAAUUACUUUCCACCGGUUUCCGCAAUGCCCUGAAAGAAAAAGCAAAUGGAUAGAUGCAGCACAUCGUGGCGACCUUUGGU